Long non-coding RNA from Nematostella vectensis (starlet sea anemone), 399 nucleotides. RefSeq lists it as uncharacterized. The transcript has 2 exons. The record is from RefSeq and is a predicted model, not a curated record. NCBI's taxonomy places the organism in Eukaryota, Metazoa, Cnidaria, Anthozoa, Actiniaria, Edwardsiidae.
CGAAGAAUACACAAACACUUUUACAGCCCACCUUCUUGUUAGCGGCAAUGGCUGAAUAAAAAGCAGUCAGCAAGGUCUUGUACAACUCGCCCUGACGACCUUACAAAAUCCAAGCGGUGAUAAAAGGGUGGAGUGAUAACAAUAGCGAGCCAGUCAAUGAAAGUUGUUAAGCUUUGAUCAAGGCUGGUAUCUGCAGCACCAAAGCUACUGGCGGGCGCCUGUAUUGGACUUCGAAGAAAUGGAUGGAAGCCCAGAAAGCACAAGAGACCAACACAUGCCAAGCAAGAGCAAAAAAAGGCCAUCGAAUUUUUUAGGGAAAAAGAUAAACACAAGUGCGUAAUGUUAUGUAAGUAAGACACAUGCCGAGCCAAAAGAAUAAAGGGAGCCAUUUUGAUUUUA